AACGGGCGGGGCAGGGCGGGGCGGGGGUUGUUCCUGGGGCGGCAGCGUGGCUGUCCCCCUCAGUCCUGUGUGCUGAAGCACGACACCAGCCUCCUCAUGCAAAGUCUUAAUAUGCACUGAGCAAACGCACCGUUUUAGAGUCCAUCUUCAUUCAUUUAGCAGCAGAGCUACAGAACCUUUAACAGACUAUAGAGGGAGUUUCAGGGGGACCAGAUGGUCAGGAGCUCUGACUGGAUCUGUCCGUCACAGCAGGUCAGAGAGGAGCAGAGAUGGCGGUUUCUUAGUGGAAGAGAGGAGCAGAGAUGGCAGUUUCUCUGAGGAGAGAAGAGCAGAGAUGGCAGUUUCUCUGAGGAGAGAGGAACAGAGAUGGCGGUUUCUCUGAGGAGAGAGGAGCAGAGAUGGCGGUUUCUCUGAGGAGAGAGGAGCAGAGAUGGCAGUUUCUCUGAGGAGAGAGGAGCAGAGAUGGUGGUUCCCCUGAGGAGAGAGGAGCAAAGAUGGUGGUUUCUCAGUGGAAGAGAAGAGUAGAGAUGGCGGUUUCUCAGUGGAAGAGAAGAGUAGAGAUGGCGGUUGAGGAGGUAGGAGCCAAAAUGGCGGUUUCUCUGAGGAUGUAGGAGCCAAAAUGGCGGUUUCUCUGAGGAUGUAGGAGCCAAAAUGGUGGUUUCUCUGAGGAGGUAGGAGCCAAAAUGGCGGUUUCUCAGAGGAGGUAGGAGCCAAAAUGGUGGUUUCACUGAGUGAAGCAGGGAUGGAACCUGCUCUGUAGUCUCUGUUAAAAUGUGAUCAUGUCCAGAUCAUCAUACGUUAAUGGUGCAUUUUCCAUAUCAGUAAAUUAAAACAGACUGAUUCAAUUAGAACAAUCAGAAUUACACCAUUUAGACAAAGAGAACAUUACACAAUAUCAAUCAAAUAAUCUUAAUUUUACAUCCAUGCAUACACAUGAAAUAUGUAAUAUUGCAAUAUAUGUAAUCAGGAAAUUACUGAAGGCUUGUCUACUUUUCCUGCUGUACUGUGUCUUGAGUGACACGUACAGGAAGAGUAAAGGCUUGGAAGCACCCCACCCUGGUGAAAAAAAAUAGCAACAACCACAGCCUAUAGAUAUAUAUGUAUAUUUAAAAAAAAUACAAAAUUUAUGCUGUUUUUAAUGUUUUGUACAUUUUUAUGUAAUACGAGUAUUUCAGGAAUUUUUCAGUCAGAAAAAUCUACUUUAACUUAUUUAAAGGAUUUGCUGGACAGGGUCUGGGGAAAUGAGGCUAUUUUUAAAGUAUAGUGUACUGCUACCGGGACAGGGGAUACCUACAAGUUUCUUACUAUAUAUAGCACAAUCUUUAUCAUGCAGACAUGGCACUGAAUUAAUGGAGGUCCUUAGAGCAACGUAGGGUAACUGUUGAAGUGUCGUUUUAAACGCGAGUCAAAACACAGCCAUGGGCUCUUUCUGAUUGGUCAAAACACAGCCAUGGGCUCUUUCUGAUUGGUCAAAACACAGCCAUGGGCUCUUUCUGAUUGGGUUACUGCUCAGUGCCAUGUGUCCCCACAUUUAUAACGCCGAAUCACUGGUUCUGCACAGUUUGGAAAGUCCUGGUUGGCUUUUUGCCAUGUGAUUUCAGGCUUUUUAAACUGUGUGUGUGCUUGCAUGCGUGUGCGUGCAGUUGUGUGUGUGUGCAUGUGUGCGCGCAUGCGUGUGCGUAUGCUUGUGUGUGUGUGUGUCUGUGUGUUGACUGUGGUGAUCUGUCCUAAAUGGACUCACUGAUUCUGGGUCAGUUACCCCUGAUGGUAUGCUGCCAGCCUGCCAUUGGACAUGCAUUGUGAUUGGACGUGGCGUUCCAUACCCAUGUGUGAGCCAAUCAGAAGCCGUGGGGCGGGGUCUCACAGGAAGGACAUCAGACUGAGGCCCCUGCUGGACCAAAUUAAAGAUGGCCUCACUGUUCCAUGAGAAAUGGCACAUUUAAUGCCAUGAAGCAAACAUCCAAACAUCCUGUUGUAAACCUUAUACGCAUAUACACAGUACUUACCCUCUCCUGCAUAAGCACUGCUGUACAUCUGUGUGUUCAUAACCAGCCUCUUGCACUGAGCUUUACUCAGUGAAUACUGUAGCUACGCAAGUCUUCUUUCUAGGCCAUACAGUGAGCAUUCUGAUUCAGCACUGAGCACGCUCAUUCUGGAGCACUGAGCACUGAGCAUGUUCAUUCUAGAGCACCGAACUCUCAGCUCAUUCUAGAGCACUGAGCACUGAGCAUGUUCAUUCUAGAGCACUGAACUCUCAGCUCAUUCGAGAGCACUGAACACUGAGCAUGCUCAUUCUGGAGCACUGAGCACUCAACACGCUCAUUCUGUGACACUGAGCACUGAGCAUACCCAUUCUGAGUCAGGCUGUUCUCCAUGUGUCUGUUACUCUGGUAUUGCCCGUAAUAUGUGUGUAGUUUCAUCACAUCGAUAAUUUAACCUUAACACUUUUUUAAAUAACUUGUCGUUUAGCACAUGUUGGAAUUAAUGUAUCACUGUAGUGUAAAACCAGGCUAUUCUAUCAAAUAAUACAGUAUGUUUAGUACACUAUAGCGUUUCUGCAAAAAAGGCAAACCCUCCCCAGCUUUGCAAAACCUGCGGAACAGAAAAUUUUCAGUGAAGGGAAGAAAUCCAGAAGACACACAGGCACAUGCGCACACAUGCGCACAGAUGCGCACACAUGCGCACACAUGCGCACACAUGCACUCAGAUGCGCAUAUGCACGUGCACGCACAAGCAUGCACUUGUCCACAGAGGGAAACAUGCACACAAGCAUGCACACACACACACACACACACACACAAAUGUGCAAAAACAUGCGCAAAUGCACACAUGCUUUAAAUGUACUACAAAGUGUCAGCCAAGGAAAUGCAGGCACUUGGGUGAAGUUCCUGCACAUUUCCUGCAGCUUUAUUAAGCUUUGACCUGUAUGAAGGAUGCAAGUACUGUAACAUGAGAAGGCCUGUAGAGAACAAUAGCACUGUAACAUCUCCCUGUAUGUCUAUCCCCAUCUCACAUAUAUGCAUGCAUUCCAUAUGUAAACUUAAGCAGUAGACAUCAUAUAAAACAAACACAGCGAAUGCGUUGUGUGUGCAGUUUACACUAGUACAGGCUUCCUCUGUCUUACGCAAAAUGCACAUGGUUAGAUUCACCAUUUAAGCCACCGCAAAGACCUGUUUUAGACACAAGUACUGGCUGCAGUUACAGCACAUACACGUUUCAGCUUUUUAUCUGUACAAAAAAGCAGCUAUAUAAACGUUUGCCUGUUUAGAUGGUGCGCUGUAAAAUCUGUGUAAGUCAUACCUGUUUCGUUAACCCCCCCCCCCCCCCCCCCCCAAAAAAAGGCUCAGAUUCAGGGGGAAAAAACGCACUGGUUGUACAGUCCCUGUUCAUAACCUUACGGAAAUGUUAUGUCUUAUCCACAGAUUUUACAGAGCUGCAUGCUAAAGCCACAAGUAGUAAGUGUGAAAACAUAUUAUAUCCGUUACUGCACACCCCUAGCCAUGCGUUCCAUAACCGUAUGAUUGAUAAACUAAUGCGUAAACAAACACGAAGGCUGUUACAUUCUGUAUAGCAACAGAAAGAAAAAAGAAAAAGACCAGAUAUUUAAUCAUCCUUAUAAUGCUACCAUACAUUAGGACGUGUUUUGUAACCCCCCGCAUUCAUACUGCAUAUUGAAAAGUUAUGCUUUUUUAAAAUUUACUGUUUUAACAGUCGCGUGUUGUUGAAUGUUACAUUAACUGCUGACAGUGCGUGCAAUCAGGAACCGGAAGAGGGUUAUCAAUCGCAUUUCUCACAUUCAUUGAAUUUGGAGCAAAUCAGUCAUUGUUAGCUCUUAUUUUUAAAACUCACAUUGCUGAUGUCCAAUCCCACGUGAACAUGGCUGGAUGAAUACAAACUAAUGCAAACCUCACAUCAAAUUGUCAGGCAGGUGGGGGAAAUUUGUAUUUUAAAAAUGUUACAAAGAAGGACUCUAAUUAUGCAUUUUUUUUGUUGUUGAAUGGGCAUGUAUAAUGUGUACAGAUUGUGUUGGCACGGUUAACAGCAUUUAUGUAGUUAUUUAUCAGUUUGUAGAAAUUGUGCGUUGUUAUCAGUUUUUAGAAGCUGUUUUGUCAUUUGACCCCUUUUAACUUCAACUCUGGGAGGAAUUGGAAAAAAAGUUCCUUCGCGGUAUUACCGAUGCUGGAACAUUAAGCCUUAUGAACUUUGUAAAGUGAAUUUUGAAUGUUUGUAUGUUCAAACAAAAUAUGGAUUGUUUUAUAUGUUAUUACUGCCACAAUAAAAUCCCAAAUUAAUAUCGAAAAUGCUGGUAUACACGUGUUAUAUUUUUCCAGUGCAAAGUAUAUGCAUACCAAAAGAGAUCAAACAACAAAGUAGUUCAAAUGUGGAGGUUUCGCUUCCGAUUAUUCCGGACAGACUUCUCAAUUUUAGCGGUCCAAUGCUAAACUGACGGAUCAGUCUCUUGCAACGUCGGAGCUACUUUGGAAUUUAACAGCUAUCCCGUUUCUGCUCUCAGCUUGUGCAGCUACUUUAGUUACCCUUUACCUGUGGUCAUGUUCUGUGCUACUUUUAUGGUAUCAUCGGGUAUCCAUAUGUCUUCCACCGUUAAAACGAUAAUACUGUCCUGCAGUACGUCAGCUAACUGGCUACUUGUAGCAGGCAGCCAGCACGUAAACACGCGGCGACUACCUCUGUUCUGUCGCUGAAACGCGUUAGCUGCUAUGAUUUCCGCUUUGCGAGCGUGGCCAGGUCGCUAUAGUAACACCUGGGUUAGAAGCACGCACUUCAAAUGGGGUCUGAGCGUACGCAUCUCCCGGUGGCACGCGACAGAGAACUUAAUCAGGCUCAGACCCCCACACCCCGGCCCGGCACCCCACAUUUGGACACCCUCAGAACCAAGCGCCUGCAGUUCUGCAGCAAAUACGAGAGCGUCCAGAAAUCCCAAAGUACAGCUCCCCAUGCAGACGGGCCAAGCGACAAGCCGUUCUCUGUGUACAAUGGGCCGGUCUCUACGGACCCGGCCGCGGGCGUGGCAGAACUGGACCCACUGCUGUUACGGGACUCCGGUGUGCCGGAACACCGGAAGCUUCGGCACGUGUUAGCCUGGGCUCAGAACUUCAUCAGAACCGGGCCCACGGACCCUCCUGCUGUGGGUCAGGGGCGUGUGUCUCCCACAAACACCGACCGUGUGACAAAUGCAAAAUCCAGUCAUGUGACUCUUACCAACAGGGAAGAAUUACCCACCAGGCAGGUUCUCCAGUCCCCAGAAAUUUAUUUUUCACCCCAGUCCUGCACCCUCUCCCCACCCAGCUCUGAGCCUCAGUCCCAUCUUCAAUCCCAACCCUGCCUUGAGCCUGACCCCCUGCCCCGCCCCCUCUCCCUAACCUGCCUUGAGCCUGACCCCCUG
Molecule: long non-coding RNA, 5404 nt
Organism: Anguilla anguilla (European eel)
Lineage: Eukaryota; Metazoa; Chordata; Actinopteri; Anguilliformes; Anguillidae
Exons: 3
Source: RefSeq, a predicted model, not a curated record